RNAcentral lists this ribosomal RNA (497 nucleotides) under uncultured bacterium. RNAcentral describes it as "partial 16S ribosomal RNA". It matches the Rfam family "Bacterial small subunit ribosomal RNA", at positions 28 to 507 of the family's 1533-position model. The record is from RNAcentral.
GAUGAACGCUGGCGGCGUGCCUAAUACAUGCAAGUCGAGCGAACAGACGAGGAGCUUGCUCCUCUGACGUUAGCGGCGGACGGGUGAGUAACACGUGGAUAACCUACCUCUAAGACUGGGAUAACUUCGGGAAACCGGUGCUAAUACCGGAUAAUAUAUUGAACCGCAUGGUUCAAUAGUGAAAGACGGUUUUGCUGUCACUUAUAGAUGGAUCCGCGCCGCAUUAGCUAGUUGGUAAGGUAACGGCUUACCAAGGCGACGAUGCGUAGCCGACCUGAGAGGAUGAUCAGCCACACUGGAACUGAGACACGGUCCAGACUCCUACGGGAGGCAGCAGUAGGGAAUCUUCCGCAAUGGGCGAAAGCCUGACGGAGCAACGCCGCGUGAGUGAUGAAGGUCUUCGGAUCGUAAAGCUCUGUUAUUAGGGAAGAACAAAUGUGUAAGUAACUAUGCACGUCUUGACGGUACCUAAUCAGAAAGCCACGGCUAACUACGUG